UGAGACACGGCCCAGACUCCUACGGGAGGCAGCAGUGGGGAAUAUUGCACAAUGGGCGRAAGCCUGAUGCAGCGACGCCGCGUGAGGGAUGACGGCCUUCGGGUUGUAAACCUCUUUCAGCACGGAAGAAGCGAAAGUGACGGUACGUGCAGAAGAAGCGCCGGCUAACUACGUGCCAGCAGCCGCGGUAAUACGUAGGGCGCAAGCGUUGUCCGGAAUUAUUGGGCGUAAAGAGCUCGUAGGCGGUUUGUCGCGUCUGCUGUGAAAGCCCGGGGCUUAACCCCGGGUGUGCAGUGGGUACGGGCAGACUUGAGUGCAGUAGGGGAGACUGGAAUUCCUGGUGUAGCGGUGAAAUGCGCAGAUAUCAGGAGGAACACCGAUGGCGAAGGCAGGUCUYUGGGCUGUUACUGACGCUGAGGAGCGAAAGCAUGGGGAGCGAACAGGAUUAGAUACCCUGGUAGUCCAUGCCGUAAACGUUGGGCACUAGGUGUGGGGAACAUUCCACGUUUUCCGCGCCGUAGCUAACGCAUUAAGUGCCCCGCCUGGGGAGUACGGCCGCAAGGCUAAAACUCAAAGGAAUUGACGGGGGCCCGCACAAGCGGCGGAGCAUGCGGAUUAAUUCGAUGCAACGCGAAGAACCUUACCAAGGCUUGACAUACACCGGACCGGGCCAGAG
RNAcentral lists this ribosomal RNA (676 nucleotides) under Kocuria sp. RNAcentral's name for it is "bacterial SSU rRNA". It matches the Rfam family "Bacterial small subunit ribosomal RNA", at positions 320 to 1005 of the family's 1533-position model. Lineage: Bacteria; Bacillati; Actinomycetota; Actinomycetes; Micrococcales; Micrococcaceae. The record is from RNAcentral.